GGGGUGCAAUUGGUUAACAAGAGGGCAUAUUCCUUAACAAAAGGGCACUAAUGAAAAUGAAAGGGCAUCUAAAAAUUAUUUUUGGCGACCUCCCCCCCCCCCCCGUCGCCAAAAAUUUUUUGGUCAGUGUACCAUUUUAGGGGUAAAAAAAAUUUUCCGGACAUACCACAAUUUUUCCUAAAUACGAAAAAAAUUUUCCGGACAUACCGAAAAUUUUUCCGGAAAAUGUUAUUUUUUCCGGAAAUUAAAACAUUUUUCCGGAAAUAACAUAGAUUGAAUUUUUCAAAAAUGCCCUUUGCGCAAAAAAUGCAAUUUUUAAUGAAAAUUUUUCUCGCAAAAAGGGCACUUUGUGCACCCGUUGCACCCGUAUUCUGCACCCGUAGUGCACCCGUAAAGUUGUGAAGACAAAAGGCAACGGGUGCAACUGCACCCGCUGCACCCGUGGUUCCGGCAUC
Paramuricea clavata is the source of this 455-nucleotide non-coding RNA. Lineage: Eukaryota; Metazoa; Cnidaria; Anthozoa; Malacalcyonacea; Plexauridae. The record is from the annotation of a GenBank genome assembly.